RNAcentral lists this ribosomal RNA (464 nucleotides) under uncultured bacterium. Its description in RNAcentral is "partial 16S ribosomal RNA". It matches the Rfam family "Bacterial small subunit ribosomal RNA", at positions 339 to 795 of the family's 1533-position model. The record is from RNAcentral.
CUACGGGUUGCAGCAGUGGGGAAUAUUGCACAAUGGGCGCAAGCCUGAUGCAGCCAUGCCGCGUGUAUGAAGAAGGCCUUCGGGUUGUAAAGUACUUUCAGCGGGGAGGAAGGGAGUAAAGUUAAUACCUUUGCUCAUUGACGUUACCCGCAGAAGAAGCACCGGCUAAGUCCGUGCCAGCAGCCGCGGUAAUACGGAGGGUGCAAGCGUUAAUCGGAAUUACUGGGCGUAAAGCGCACGCAGGCGGUUUGUUAAGUCAGAUGUGAAAUCCCCGGGCUCAACCUGGGAACUGCAUCUGAUACUGGCAAGCUUGAGCCUGGUAGAGGGGGGUAGAAUUCCAGGUGUAGCGGUGAAAUGCGUAGAGAUCUGGAGGAAUACCGGUGGCGAAGGCGGCCCCCUGGACGAAGACUGACGCUCAGGUGCGAAAGCGUGGGGAGCAAACAGGAUUAGAUACCCUCGUAGUC